CCCACUGUGUCGGUAAAUAUUAAUGUUCUGCAAGUUCCGAGAUCCCCACACACCUAGAAUAUCCUGGACAGCAUCACCAGUCAUAACCGCAGUUCUCUCCGAAUGUCACGUUCAGAAGUAAUCAAGUCGCUCUGUUGGUUCCGCGUCACGGACUCCCGUCGGAUCUCUGACAUGGGGAGUCUUGUCGUUGCACUUUGGUGCCCUGCCAGUGUCCUGCGAAGGCACCUCCCGCCAAGGAGUCACGGAAAGGACUGACAGGCAAAGUCUGAUGAUGGCUCCUAAGCGCGGCUUCUCAGCCUGGAGAGUCUUUCGAAGUUCACGGGAGAUUCCUUACGGAAAGUCUGAGCCAAGCGGACUUAAAAGUCUGUAUGAAAUGCCUCUUAUUAAAUAUCCGAUGACUUGCCCCCAGACCUAACUCGGGAGCCUCCUGAAAUGGAGCCGGCUGCUUAACCGAACGGCCCCGUCGUCAGGACUGGGAGGCUG
Prionailurus viverrinus (fishing cat) is the source of this 483-nucleotide long non-coding RNA. RefSeq lists it as uncharacterized. The record is from RefSeq and is a predicted model, not a curated record. NCBI's taxonomy places the organism in Eukaryota, Metazoa, Chordata, Mammalia, Carnivora, Felidae. The transcript is spliced from 3 exons.